Molecule: long non-coding RNA, 235 nt
Filed under: Elaeis guineensis (African oil palm)
Lineage: Eukaryota; Viridiplantae; Streptophyta; Magnoliopsida; Arecales; Arecaceae
Description: long non-coding RNA (EGUI_LNC031066)
Source: RNAcentral
GGCAUACUACCAUCCGACCUCUUUGAGGUGUUAGUUGAAUGAGAAAUAUAUCUGAAACAAGUGGACGGUCGGCUUGGCACUGAGGAGGGGAGAGGUAAAAUCCUGAGGGAGAAGUAUUUAUUUAUAGAAGCUCAGAUGGCUCUGAUCAGAUGAUGAUUCACCUAGCUACCAUUGAUUGUUGCUAAGUAGUGGCUCAAGGAUGGGCACAACCGACUAUGCAUGGAUCCACGUCUCC